Molecule: ribosomal RNA, 403 nt
Filed under: uncultured bacterium
Lineage: Bacteria
Description: bacterial SSU rRNA
Rfam family: Bacterial small subunit ribosomal RNA
Source: RNAcentral
GGGAAUAUUGCGCAAUGGGGGGAACCCUGACGCAGCAACGCCGCGUGAGUGAAGAAGGCCUUCGGGUUGUAAAGCUCUUUAAUCAGGGACGAAGAAUGACGGUACCUGAAGAAUAAGCUCCGGCUAACUACGUGCCAGCAGCCGCGGUAAUACGUAGGUGGCGAGCGUUAUCCGGAAUGAUUGGGCGUAAAGGGUGCGCAGGCGGUCCUGCAAGUCUGGAGUGAAACGCAUGAGCUCAACUCAUGCAUGGCUUUGGAAACUGGAGGACUGGAGAGCAGGAGAGGGCGGUGGAACUCCAUGUGUAGCGGUAAAAUGCGUAGAUAUAUGGAAGAACACCAGUGGCGAAGGCGGCCGCCUGGCCUGUUGCUGACGCUGAGGCACGAAAGCGUGGGGAGCAAAUAGG